CCUACGGGUGGCAGCAGUGGGGAAUAUUGGACAAUGGGGGGAACCCUGAUCCAGCCAUGCCGCAUGUGUGAAGAAGGCCCUCGGGUUGUAAAGCACUUUCAGUGAGGAAGAACGCCUGGUGGUUAAUACCCAUCAGGAAAGACAUCACUCACAGAAGAAGCACCGGCUAACUCCGUGCCAGCAGCCGCGGUAAUACGGAGGGUGCGAGCGUUAAUCGGAAUUACUGGGCGUAAAGCGCGCGUAGGUGGCUUGAUAAGCCGGUUGUGAAAGCCCCGGGCUCAACCUGGGAACGGCAUCCGGAACUGUCAAGCUAGAGUGCAGGAGAGGAAGGUAGAAUUCCCGGUGUAGCGGUGAAAUGCGUAGAGAUCGGGAGGAAUACCAGUGGCGAAGGCGGCCUUCUGGACUGACACUGACACUGAGGUGCGAAAGCGUGGGUAGCAAACAGGAUUAGAUACCCCUGUAGUC
RNAcentral lists this ribosomal RNA (465 nucleotides) under Vreelandella stevensii. RNAcentral describes it as "partial 16S ribosomal RNA". It matches the Rfam family "Bacterial small subunit ribosomal RNA", at positions 338 to 795 of the family's 1533-position model. The record is from RNAcentral. Lineage: Bacteria; Pseudomonadati; Pseudomonadota; Gammaproteobacteria; Oceanospirillales; Halomonadaceae.